AGUGAACGCUGGCGGUAGGCCUAACACAUGCAAGUCGAACGGCAGCACAGUAAGAGCUUGCUCUUACGGGUGGCGAGUGGCGGACGGGUGAGGAAUACAUCGGAAUCUACUUUUUCGUGGGGGAUAACGUAGGGAAACUUACGCUAGUACCGCAUACGACCUACGGGUGAAAGCAGGGGAUCUUCGGACCUUGCGCGAUUGAAUGAGCCGAUGUCGGAUUAGCUAGUUGGCGGGGUAAAGGCCCACCAAGGCGACGAUCCGUAGCUGGUCUGAGAGGAUGAUCAGCCACACUGGAACUGAGACACGGUCCAGACUCCUACGGGAGGCAGCAGUGGGGAAUAUUGGACAAUGGGCGCAAGCCUGAUCCAGCCAUACCGCGUGGGUGAGGAAGGCCUUCGGGUUGUAAAGCCCUUUUGUUGGGAAAGAAAAGCAGCAGGUUAAUACCCCGCUGUUCUGACGGUACCCAAAGAAUAAGCACCGGCUAACUUCGUG
This 492-nucleotide ribosomal RNA is filed under the name uncultured bacterium. Its description in RNAcentral is "partial 16S ribosomal RNA". It matches the Rfam family "Bacterial small subunit ribosomal RNA", at positions 29 to 507 of the family's 1533-position model. The record is from RNAcentral.